GAUGAACGCUGGCGGCGUGCCUAAUACAUGCAAGUCGAGCGAACGGACCAGAUGUUUGCGCCGCUGAUGUUAGCGGCGGACGGGAGAGUAACACGUGGAUAACCUACCUAUAAGACUGUGAUAACUUUGGGAAACAGGAGCUAAUACCGGAUAAUAUUUUGAACCGCAUGGUGCAAACGUUAAAUACGGUCUUUCUUGCGCUAAUAGAUGGCCCCGCGCUGCAUUAGUUAGUUGUUAAGGUAACGGCUUACCAAGGCAACGAUGCAUAGCCGACCUGAGAGCGAGGUCGGACACACUGGAAGUGAGACACGGCAGAGACUCCUAGGGGAGGCAGCAGUAGGGAAUCCUCCGCGAUGGGGGAAUGCCUGAUGUAACAACGCGGCGUGAGUGAUGAAGGUCUCCGGAUCGUAAAGCUCUGUUAGUAGGAAGGAAGUAAUGUGUAAGUAACUGUGAAGAUAAUGACGGUACCUAAACAGAAAGCCACGGCUAACUACGUG
This 497-nucleotide ribosomal RNA is filed under the name uncultured bacterium. Its description in RNAcentral is "partial 16S ribosomal RNA". It matches the Rfam family "Bacterial small subunit ribosomal RNA", at positions 28 to 507 of the family's 1533-position model. The record is from RNAcentral.